UAAGGAAUAUUGGUCAAUGGCCGCAAGUCUGAACCAGCCAUGCCGCGUGAAGGAAGAUGGCCCUACGGGUUGUAAACUUCUUUUGUACGGGAAAAAAUCUCCGGUCGUGAAUCGGAGCUGAUGGUACCGUAAGAAUAAGCAUCGGCUAACUCCGUGCCAGCAGCCGCGGUAAUACGGAGGAUGCAAGCGUUAUCCGGAUUCAUUGGGUUUAAAGGGUGCGCAGGCGGAAUGAUAAGUCAGCGGUGAAAUCCUACGGCUCAACUGUAGAACUGCCAUUGAUACUGUCGUUCUUGAGUACACUUGGAGUGGGCGGAAUGUGUCAUGUAGCGGUGAAAUGCUUAGAUAUGACACAGAACACCGAUCGCGAAGGCAGCUCACUAAAUUGUAACUGACGCUCAGGCACGAAAGCGUGGGGAUCAAACAG
This 424-nucleotide ribosomal RNA is filed under the name uncultured bacterium. Its description in RNAcentral is "bacterial SSU rRNA". It matches the Rfam family "Bacterial small subunit ribosomal RNA", at positions 355 to 775 of the family's 1533-position model. The record is from RNAcentral.